Molecule: ribosomal RNA, 400 nt
Filed under: uncultured bacterium
Lineage: Bacteria
Description: bacterial SSU rRNA
Rfam family: Bacterial small subunit ribosomal RNA
Source: RNAcentral
AGUAACAUCCGGAAACGGGUGCUAAGUACCGCAUAGUUUUCUUGAUCGCAUGAUCGGGAAAGGAAAGACGGCCUUUGUGCUGUCGUCUUAUGGAUGGACCCGCGGCGUAUUAGCUAGUUGGGUGAGGUGACGGCUCACCAAGACGAGUGAUACGUAGCCGACCUGAGAGGGUGAUCGGCCACAUUGGGACUGAGACACGGCCCAAACUCCUACGGGAGGCAGCAGUAGGGAAUCUUCCGCAAUGGACGAAAGUCUGACGGAGCGAACGCCGCGUGAGUGAAAAGAAGGUUUUUCGGAUCGUAAAACUCUGUUGUCAGAGAAGAACAAGUUGGAGAGUAACUGCUCCAGCCUUGACGGUAUCUGACCAGAAAGCCACGGCUAACUACGUGCCAGCCGCCGC